Molecule: non-coding RNA, 278 nt
Organism: Nerophis lumbriciformis (worm pipefish)
Lineage: Eukaryota; Metazoa; Chordata; Actinopteri; Syngnathiformes; Syngnathidae
Source: RefSeq, a predicted model, not a curated record
GGUGUGUUGUGUCUGUGAGAGAACACAGGUAGUCGGUGUGUUGUGAGAGAACACAGGUAGUAGGUGUGUUGUGAGAGAACACAGGUAGUAGGUGUGUUGUGAGAGAACACAGGUAGUAGGUGUGUUGUAAGAUAACACAGGUAGUAGGUGUGUUGUGAGAGAACACAGGUAGUAGGUGUGUUGUGUCUGUGAGAGAACACAGGUAGUCGGUGUGUUGUGAGAGAACACAGGUAGUCGGUGUGUUGUGAGAGAACACAGGUAGUCGGUGUGUUGUGAGA